Long non-coding RNA from Nomascus leucogenys (northern white-cheeked gibbon), 918 nucleotides. RefSeq lists it as uncharacterized. Lineage: Eukaryota; Metazoa; Chordata; Mammalia; Primates; Hylobatidae. The record is from RefSeq and is a predicted model, not a curated record. The transcript is spliced from 3 exons.
GGUGUGAGGUCCCUCGUGGCCUCGGGAUGGCUGCAAUGUGAUUGUGAGAGCCGGGAUGAAGUCAGCACUGACAAAGUGAGGGGAUUGAUGGAUGGACAAAGCAGGGAACUGGAUAAGCCUCUGGAAGGACUCAUGUCCUCCAUCCCUGCCUACAGCAAGCCUUUGCCAAGGGCCCUCUGCUCUUGGGGUACAGGUGAAUCAUUCUGAACAGUGUGAUAAGUUCUAUACACAAAGUUCGAAGCCCAGCUUGCACAUUGAGAUUUUGAGAAACCUGUAAAAAGGAUACCAAUGGUCAGGGAGUACCUCAGACCAACUCAAUCAGAUUUCUGGUGAUUGGCAUGGGGAUUGGGAUUGUAUGGAAAUGUUCUCCAGGUGACAUUAAUGCCAGCUGGCCAAGAAGUGGAGCCACUGUUUAUUCUCCCAGUGGCUCUGUGUACACACUCUGCCCGUGGAGUUGCCUGGGAUGAGCUGUGAGUCCUCUGAGAACUGCUUCCUGUUUGGUCUGGUAACUCCUAAGCCUGCCUUUCUUUCCUACAGUCUGUAUUUGUGGAAAUCUGCAGUAUUUGAAGUUUGAAGGAGAUCAAUUUUUCAUCCUUUCCUUCGUGGGAUAAAGAAUAUUUCAACCACCUCUGGAGACCAAAGAGUUCUGAGAAGUUUUGAAAUAGCUUGGGAAAUACACCACGUGCUUCACACUUCAUUUUUCUCCUCUCUUUUUCAUUGUUUCACUUAAUUAAAAUAUUGUAAUGCAAGAAGGAGAGAUGAGGCAUACGUUUAGAGAAGGGAAAGGAAAUGGGUUCAUGUUUAAACUGACUCUGAGCAAGCAUGGCAAUGGUAGUUUGAAAGAAUUGAGCAUGUAGGAAAGUAAACUCAAAAUGUUCUUCCUGCCUGAGAAGUGAUUAAAAUACCUGUGAGCUCCAA